Molecule: small RNA, 290 nt
Filed under: Martinezella tropici
Lineage: Bacteria; Pseudomonadati; Pseudomonadota; Alphaproteobacteria; Hyphomicrobiales; Rhizobiaceae
Description: Rhizobium tropici 5' ureB small RNA
Rfam family: 5' ureB small RNA
Source: RNAcentral
CUUCCUCGAUCUGCUGCGGGCAGAUGAAGUGAAUAUGGCUGUCCAUGCCACCGGCGGUGACGAUCUUCCCCUCACCCGCAAUCGCCUCCGUGCCGGGUCCGACGAUGAUAUUGACAUUGGGCUGCAUAUCCGGAUUUCCGGCCUUGCCGAUUGCGACAAUGCGGCCGUCCCUCAGGCCGAUAUCCGCCUUGACGAUUCCCCAAUGAUCAAGGAUGAGCGCAUUCGUAAUGACUGUAUCGACGGCGCCGCCGGCGCGCGUCACCUGGCUCUGUCCCAUGCCGUCACGGAUG